AUUCGAGGGAAUUGUCCGAUAAAUCAAUUAUAUCAAAAUCAAACAAAAAAUUCCCCCGUUUCUCUCUCCGCCUUUACCUCUCUUCCCUCUCCUUUACUC
RNAcentral lists this microRNA precursor (99 nucleotides) under Trichophyton rubrum BMU01672. The record is from RNAcentral. Lineage: Eukaryota; Fungi; Ascomycota; Eurotiomycetes; Onygenales; Arthrodermataceae.